This is a non-coding RNA of Podarcis lilfordi (Lilford's wall lizard), 74 nucleotides long. The record is from the annotation of a GenBank genome assembly. NCBI's taxonomy places the organism in Eukaryota, Metazoa, Chordata, Lepidosauria, Squamata, Lacertidae.
ACCUGGGAUAGCUCAGUUGGUAGAGCAUGAGACUCUUAAUCUCAAGGUUGUGGGUUUGAGCCCCAUGUUGGGUA